RNAcentral lists this ribosomal RNA (497 nucleotides) under uncultured bacterium. RNAcentral's name for it is "partial 16S ribosomal RNA". It matches the Rfam family "Bacterial small subunit ribosomal RNA", at positions 28 to 507 of the family's 1533-position model. The record is from RNAcentral.
GAUGAACGCUGGCGGCGUGCCUAAUACAUGCAAGUCGAGCGAACAGACGAGGAGCUUGCUCCUCUGACGUUAGCGGCGGACGGGUGAGUAACACGUGGAUAACCUACCUAUAAGACUGGGAUAACUUCGGGAAACCGGAGCUAAUACUGGAUAAUAUAUUGAACCGCAUGGUUCAAUAGUGAAAGACGGUUUUGCUGUCACUUAUAGAUGGAUCCGCGCCGCAUUAGCUAGUUGGUAAGGUAACGGCUUACCAAGGCAACGAUGCGUAGCCGACCUGAGAGGGUGAUCGGCCACACUGGAACUGUGACACGGUCCAGACUCCUACGGGAGGCAGCAGUAGGGAAUCUUCCGCAAUGGGCGAAAGCUUGACGGAGCAACGCCGCGUGAGUGAUGAAGUUCUUCGGAUCGUAAAACUCUGUUAUUAGGGAAUAACAAAUGUGUAAGUAACUAUGCACGUCUUGACGGUACCUAAUCAGAAAGCCACGGCUAACUACGUG